Non-coding RNA from Sus scrofa (pig), 432 nucleotides. NCBI's taxonomy places the organism in Eukaryota, Metazoa, Chordata, Mammalia, Artiodactyla, Suidae. The record is from RefSeq and is a predicted model, not a curated record.
GGAGCCUUCACCUGCGCUCCCAUUCUCACAACAAACGCCCUAGACCAGCCAUUCUCAAUUGCAAACAACCUCUUGUUAACCACCAACAGGGUCCUAGAAUUCAGACACUUGGUUCUCCCCAGAAGCCAUAGGUGAAAGCUAAUCUACGUGCGGGAAGCUGGGCGCAGGCUUCUUGGUGCUCUAAACAGCAUCUGUCACGCCCGACGGUGCGGCCGGCGCGGCCGGGAGCCCCUUUUGCGCAUGCGCGGGGAAACCUCCCCGGAGCCCUCCGAGGCGGGAGGACCUGAUGCGAUCCCGCCGACGCCAGUUUCCCCAACAGGUUACUUCUUGACAAUCAAAGAAGACUCUGGUCUGCAGUUGCCCAGGGAUGGUACUUACUACUCAAACUUUUUGCCUCUGCUACGUAAAAUGAAGCAACUGAUUGCCUACUUG